RNAcentral lists this ribosomal RNA (460 nucleotides) under uncultured bacterium. RNAcentral describes it as "partial 16S ribosomal RNA". It matches the Rfam family "Bacterial small subunit ribosomal RNA", at positions 338 to 795 of the family's 1533-position model. The record is from RNAcentral.
CCUACGGGAGGCAGCAGUGAGGAAUAUUGGUCAAUGGCCGGAAGGCUGAACCAGCCAUGCCGCGUGAAGGUCAGUGCCCUAUGGGCGUUAAACUUCUUUUGUGCGGGAGCAAUAAUGGUCACGUGUGGCCAGACGAGAGUACCGUACGAAUAAGCAUCGGCUACCUCCGUGCCAGCAGCCGCGGUAAUACGGGGGAUGCAAGCGUUAUCCGGAUUUAUUGGGUUUAAAGGGUGCGUAGGCUGUGAGGUAAGUCAGCGGUGAAAUGCCCCCGCUCAACGGGGUGAAGUGCCAUUGAUACUGCCUGGCUGGAAUGCUGAUGCCGUAGGAGGAAUGUGUGGUGUAGCGGUGAAAUGCAUAGAUAUCACACAGAACACCGAUUGCGAAGGCAUCUCACGAAUCCGCGAUUGACGCUGAUGCACGAAAGCGUGGGUAUCAAACAGGAGUAGAUACCCUUGUAGUC